Molecule: transfer RNA, 93 nt
Filed under: Candidatus Aadella gelida
Lineage: Bacteria; Pseudomonadati; Candidatus Omnitrophota
Description: tRNA-Ser
Rfam family: tRNA
About the family: Transfer RNA (tRNA) molecules are approximately 80 nucleotides in length. Their secondary structure includes four short double-helical elements and three loops (D, anti-codon, and T loops). Further hydrogen bonds mediate the characteristic L-shaped molecular structure. tRNAs have two regions of fundamental functional importance: the anti-codon, which is responsible for specific mRNA codon recognition, and the 3' end, to which the tRNAs corresponding amino acid is attached (by aminoacyl-tRNA synthetases). tRNAs cope with the degeneracy of the genetic code in two manners: having more than one tRNA (with a specific anti-codon) for a particular amino acid; and 'wobble' base-pairing, i.e. permitting non-standard base-pairing at the 3rd anti-codon position.
Source: RNAcentral
GGAGAGGUCGCAUAGUUGGCUUAGUGCAGUGGUUUGCUAAACCGCCGUGGGGGUUAUACCCCACCGAGAGUUCGAAUCUCUCCCUCUCCGCCA